AAAAUGGAGCUGCUGUUGUU
RNAcentral lists this unclassified non-coding RNA (20 nucleotides) under Mus musculus (house mouse). RNAcentral describes it as "oocyte_clustered_small_RNA12366". The record is from RNAcentral. Lineage: Eukaryota; Metazoa; Chordata; Mammalia; Rodentia; Muridae.